Molecule: unclassified non-coding RNA, 332 nt
Filed under: soil metagenome
Description: partial contains 5.8S ribosomal RNA, internal transcribed spacer 2, and large subunit ribosomal RNA
Rfam family: 5.8S ribosomal RNA (bases 1-120)
Source: RNAcentral
GAUGAAGAACGUAGCGAAAUGCGAUACGUAAUGUGAAUUGCAGAAUUCAGUGAAUCAUCGAAUCUUUGAACGCACAUUGCGCCUGCCAGCACUCUGGCAGGCAUGCCUGUUCGAGCGUCAUUUCAACCAUCAAGCCCUAGGCUUGCGUUGGAGCCCUGCGGCUGCCGCAGGCCCCUAAAAGCAGUGGCGGGCUCGCUAUCACACCGAGUGCAGUAGAUUACUCUUCGCUCAGGGCGUGUGGCGGGUUCCAGCCGUGAAACCCCCUACUUCUCAAGGUUGACCUCGGAUCAGGUAGGAAUACCCGCUGAACUUAAGCAUAUCAAAGCGGAGGA